This 478-nucleotide ribosomal RNA is filed under the name uncultured bacterium. RNAcentral's name for it is "bacterial SSU rRNA". It matches the Rfam family "Bacterial small subunit ribosomal RNA", at positions 56 to 527 of the family's 1533-position model. The record is from RNAcentral.
UGCAGUCGACGGAACGACAGGAGCUUGCUCCUGGGCGUCGAGUGGCGGACGGGUGAGUAAUGCAUAGGAAUCUGCCCAUGUAGUGGGGGACAACCUGGGGAAACUCAGGCUAAUACCGCAUGAGCCCUUCGGGGGAAAGCAGGGGAUCUUCGGACCUUGCGCUAUUGGAUGAGCCUAUGUCUGAUUAGCUUGUUGGUGGGGUAACGGCCUACCAAGGCGACGAUCAGUAGCUGGUCUGAGAGGACGAUCAGCCACACUGGGACUGAGACACGGCCCAGACUCCUACGGGAGGCAGCAGUGGGGAAUAUUGGACAAUGGGCGCAAGCCUGAUCCAGCAAUGCCGCGUGUGUGAAGAAGGCCUGCGGGUUGUAAAGCACUUUCAGUGGGGAGGAAAAGCUCAAGGUUAAUAACCUUGGGUCUUGACGUUAUCCACAGAAGAAGCACCGGCUAACUCUGUGCCAGCAGCCGCGGUAAUACG